UCCCUGCAAUUCUCUUACUUCCUUUCAAAAUGGUGGAGGCAAGGGACAGAAUAUAUGUUUAAUGUCUUUGCUUUCUUCUUCAAUUUCUCCUUAAAAUUACUUGUACCAAAGCUAUAUGAUGUUAAAUUGUAAAAUUUCCCUGUUUCUCCUCCUUUCCUCUGCAGCUGCUAAACAGUUGGCAGCCAGCUGCAGCUUAAAAGGAGAGCUUUGAUGGCAUUUGUGAUUUUCUGCUGGCAUCAUGGCCAGCUCUGCCCACAGCAGAAAUCCACAAAAUGUCUGUAUGCAAUGUGCAAAGAAUUGCCCAGUUGUGCAGUAUGGGUUAUCCCCUUCUCAAAAGGCAAGGUAAAUUUCCAUUCUUUCUAAUAGGAGGAAUGUGGCACAACUGAUGUUUAUAACUGCAAUAAACAAAAGAACCUUUCCUUUUUGGGACUAUUAUUUAAAACAAAGCAUUUUGAGGUGUAAAUCUACUGUUGCAGGUGUCCAAGAGAAUGAAUUCCACUCUCUGAACUUCACCUGUCCAUUUAGAGAUGGGCCAUGGGUAUUCCGGAUGUUGGAGCUCUCCCAUUCUGACUUUCACGCUAACACUGAUGAGAGAAGACAUCCAGGGUGGAGUUUCUGAAGACUCUUCUUCAUCAGGCUUCAUCAGGCAUGGAUGAUGACGGAGAGAAAUUACUGAGGGUGUUUCCAUUGCUGCAGAGCUAGCAGAAAUGCCUCAUAUGGUUUAAACAUCUGGGCUUUCGGAGCCGUUCCAUGCCUGCUCGCCUUGUUAGAGGGUUUGGUGCUGGAGCCUCCGACUGAAUGCCAGAAUCCUUCCCUUUGUGCUCCUCAGUGACGUACACAAGAACUUUGAGGUGGUGUAAGAACAGAAGGAUUCGUGGCUAAUAAAUACUUCAUCUAAAUGGAAGCACAAGCUCUCCUACAAUAAUAAGGAAAUUGAUUUUGGCAUCCACAUUACUUCUGCCUAUUCCACACUGGAUCUCUUCAAAUGACUACUGCCACUAAUGCUCUUGUAAUUCACAAACUGAUGUAUGUUGCUCUCUGGAACCCCAUUGCCCCCAGUUCCCUCGUGGUUUUUCUACUGAAAAUCCUGUAUCCGUCUUCACCAAGCAUCCAGUGAAAGUCAAGACACUUGAGGACCAUUUAAGAGGAAUGGUGAAAAUCUGAAGUGCAGUGGAACAAGAUGGUGACUGCAGUAGGUGGAGGAUUUGUGGGAAGCUGCUGAAGAACUUCCACGUGAAAAAUGAAAGGAAGGUCCUAGUGUCAGCAUCAGUUGACACGGUUUCACAGCAAACAGCUUUUAAUAUCUUGUUUUGAAUAAAUUGAGGUAAGUUUGGUUCUUAAUGACAAUGGCACUUGUUUUUUCAUUUGGCAUUCUGGUUAAGACAUGAAAAGUUGGUAAUAUAGCAUAGACUAAAACCCCAUCAUGGUAGCUCACAUUUUAACCAUUUCUGGCAGCUGUCAGAGGACAGGUGGGUCCUGUCUGAUGUAUCAAUGCAGAAAGAGAGAGAAUACUUAAUUUUUAUGUGGGAUGGUUAUUCACCGAAUUAUGCAACAUUGCAGCAAUAUAACAGAGGAGAUAAUGACUGAGAGAAGGAGGUGACAAUCCUGUGAGCAGGAUCAGAGGAUGGCUCUCCUGAGACGUUUGGUUUCUGCCUUUCUUUCUCUCGACAAAAAAACAUUAGUAUGGCUAGCAACUAUUGUCAUAGUUUGUCCACUGCUGCAAUUUACGGCAAGUUUUUUUUAGGACUUAAUUGUGGGAAGUCCUGCAGCCUGUGAGAGGGUCAGGCUAGAUGGUUCCUUACAAUCUGUGAAGUGACAAAGGAAGAAAAAACCAUCCAAACCAGGAAACCCGUGGUGGGGAGAGAACUACCCAGGUUUGAAAAUACUGCUGCAGAUGUCACAACUCACAGACCAUUUGGAGAGUUUUAUGCUAAUGUAAUCCAUCUCCUUAAAAAUGACACAUCUGUUUCCACUUUCUGUUUCUUAUAUUAUCUUUGUAACAUCACUGUAGACUCCAUCUGGAACUGAAAUUCUCUUUAAUUUUUUUAAAGCAGUGUUCCUGAUAGAAUCUGGCAUUGCAAUGAUUUAAAGGCAAGGAUAAGCUUGGAAAAUGGAACAUUUUCUGUUUCCUGCCCAUGUAACUAUGGUCCUUCCCUCUCUGCAGGCACACAUGGUAAAGAUAUACAGAAAUAUGAAUGCAUUUACACUGCAUGUAUACUGUGAAGGGAAAACCAACACAGUUAGACUGAGAAGACAGAUCCUUGCUUUUGUAUUGAUAAUAUUGUACUAAUCCUAAAGACAAAUUAAAAUGUGUAAUUGGAGGAGUGUUUUAAAUAUUAAAAGGCGUGAUUCCUAAUUUCUUAGUAUUAGUAAUCUUUGUACAGUUCCCUCUUCUUAUUACUUAUGUUUUAAAAUCUCCCUUGGCUUUGUAGUCAAUCCAGGCUGCUGGGGCUUGUUCUUGUCUUACUGCAGUUUAAAGGAAUUUUGUCACUGACUUCAGAAAGGGCCAGCUCUACUUCUCCUUUUGCUUUGCAGCCUCUUUUAAUUUCCUUUACUGUACUCAUUAGCCCAGAGGUAAUAUUCCCAAUCCUGUUAUGGAAAGAUCCUUUUUAAAUAUCAGCAUUUAACUAUUUCAGUGGAAGUGUGAAUCAUAUUUGUGUGUGUGUGUGUGUGUGUGUGUUUUGAUCAUUAAUACUGAGGGGAACUAUUAAACUGUAUCCUCAAGCUGUUUAUCUAUGCACUUAGCAGCACAAAAUAUACUUGGAAAUCUAACAAUGUUCUUGGUUAAUACAGAGUAAC
Long non-coding RNA from Parus major (Great Tit), 2799 nucleotides. RefSeq lists it as uncharacterized. The record is from RefSeq and is a predicted model, not a curated record. The transcript is spliced from 5 exons. NCBI's taxonomy places the organism in Eukaryota, Metazoa, Chordata, Aves, Passeriformes, Paridae.